Molecule: ribosomal RNA, 301 nt
Filed under: uncultured bacterium
Lineage: Bacteria
Description: partial 16S ribosomal RNA
Rfam family: Bacterial small subunit ribosomal RNA
Source: RNAcentral
CAGCCGCCACGGUAAUACGGAGGGCGCGAGCGUUACCCGGAUUUACUGGGCGUAAAGGGCGUGUAGGCGGCCUGGGGCGUCCCAUGUGAAAGGCCACGGCUCAACCGUGGAGGAGCGUGGGAUACGCUCAGGCUAGAGGGUGGGAGAGGGUGGUGGAAUUCCCGGAGUAGCGGUGAAAUGCGCAGAUACCGGGAGGAACGCCGAUGGCGAAGGCAGCCACCUGGUCCACUUCUGACGCUGAGGCGCGAAAGCGUGGGGAGCAAACCGGAUUAGAUACCCCUGUAGUCCCUGUCUCUUAUAA